RNAcentral lists this ribosomal RNA (429 nucleotides) under Chloroflexota bacterium. RNAcentral describes it as "Chloroflexi bacterium partial 16S ribosomal RNA". It matches the Rfam family "Bacterial small subunit ribosomal RNA", at positions 355 to 776 of the family's 1533-position model. The record is from RNAcentral. Lineage: Bacteria; Bacillati; Chloroflexota.
UGGGGAAUAUUGCACAAUGGGCGCAAGCCUGAUGCAGCCAUGCCGCGUGUGUGAAGAAGGCCUUCGGGUUGUAAAGCACUUUCAGCGGGGAGGAAGGCGGUGAGGUUAAUAACCUCAUCGAUUGACGUUACCCGCAGAAGAAGCACCGGCUAACUCCGUGCCAGCAGCCGCGGUAAUACGGAGGGUGCAAGCGUUAAUCGGAAUUACUGGGCGUAUAGCGCACGCAGGCGGUCUGUCAAGUCGGAUGUGAAAUCCCCGGGCUCAACCUGGGAACUGCAUUCGAAACUGGCAGGCUAGAGUCUUGUAGAGGGGGGUAGAAUUCCAGGUGUAGCGGUGAAAUGCGUAGAGAUCUGGAGGAAUACCGGUGGCGAAGGCGGCCCCCUGGACGAAGACUGACACUCAGGUGCGAAAGCGUGGGGAGCAAACAGG